This 873-nucleotide ribosomal RNA is filed under the name Triticum aestivum (bread wheat). Its description in RNAcentral is "partial small subunit ribosomal RNA". Lineage: Eukaryota; Viridiplantae; Streptophyta; Magnoliopsida; Poales; Poaceae. The record is from RNAcentral.
AUGGCCUCCUCUGGAUCCUCCUCGACACUCGCCGUCAUCCCGGCGACCUCGGGGGAGACGCUGUCCGCGGAGCCACCCGCGGCCUCGCUCACGGCACCACCCGCGGCCGUGAUCCCGAUCGUCCCCGCGCCGCCACCCGCGGCAUCGGUCGCGCUCGCGGAUCUUGUCGCGGCUCCGCCGCCAAUCGUCCCUGCUGCUGGCGCAAUCACGCCCACCGGGCCGUUCCACUUCGACAACUUGAUCGCCAUCCGACUCACGCCGGACAACUACUUGUUCUGGCGCGCCAAGGUCCUACCGCUGCUACGCAGCCGGUCUCUCCUCGGGUUUGUUGAUGGUUCUCUACCGUGUCCUCCGCAGGUCAUCCCUACCGUCCAUGGCCCGGCCAUCAACCCGGAACACCGUAUGUGGGUGCAGCAGGACCAGGCGAUCCUCUCUGCCAUCCAGGGUUCCCUCAGCGACGGGGUCGCUGGCCUUUGUCUCUUCGCCGCCACCUCCAUGGACGCCUGGACGACCCUGGAGCACGCCUUUGCCCAGGUCUCUACCUCCCGCUCGAUGGCCCUUCGCAGCGAACUCGCUGACAUCAAGAAGCUGGACUCCUCCGCUACGACCUACUUCAACAAGAUGAAGGUGCUGGCGGACACGCUCACCUCUAUUGGUCGGCCGCUUAGCGACGAGGAGUUCGCCGGCUUCGUCAUCAAAGGCCUCGACGCUGACUACGACAAUCUCGCCGAGGCCGUCCACAAUGCCAAGCCAGCGAUGCCUCCUCACGAUAUCUACUCACGUCUCCUCUUCACCGAGCAACGCAUCGAGGCUCGUCGCUCCUCCGCCACCAUCACCGCCCAGCCAGCGGCCUUCUGGGCCUCUCGUGGCUAG